UUUCCGUAGGUGAACCUGCGGAAGGAUCAUUGAAUCUAUCAAUAACAACCACGUGAAACAUCUUGUCUGGCCCUUCAACGUCAAGUUGAGGCGUCUGUCGCACCAUUCACUUGGUGCUUCGGACGGGCUCGGUCCCUCUGGCCCUCACGGGCUGAGGGUCCGGGUUGGUCUUUGUCCAACCAUUAACACCCAACCAAUACUUUCUGAAGUGAUAAUGCAGCCGGCAUUGCCGUUGCAUCCAAACUGAGACAACUCUCAACAACGGAUAUCUUGGCUCUC
Molecule: unclassified non-coding RNA, 279 nt
Filed under: plant metagenome
Description: partial contains small subunit ribosomal RNA, internal transcribed spacer 1, and 5.8S ribosomal RNA
Source: RNAcentral